RNAcentral lists this ribosomal RNA (428 nucleotides) under uncultured prokaryote. RNAcentral describes it as "bacterial SSU rRNA". It matches the Rfam family "Bacterial small subunit ribosomal RNA", at positions 355 to 774 of the family's 1533-position model. The record is from RNAcentral.
UGAGGAAUUUUGCGCAAUGGGAGCAAUCCUGACGCAGCAACGCCGCGUGGGUGAUGAAGGCCUUCGGGUCGUAAAGCCCUGUCAGGUGGGAAGAAUGUCCCGGGACUGAACAGGUUCCGGGAUUGACGGUACCACCAGAGGAAGCACCGGCUAACUCCGUGCCAGCAGCCGCGGUAAUACGGAGGGUGCAAGCGUUAUUCGGAAUUACUGGGCGUAAAGCGCGGGUAGGCGGUCCUGCAAGUCUGAGGUGAAAGCCCCGGGCUUAACCCGGGAAGUGCAUUGGGAACUGUGGGACUUGAGGACGGGAGAGGAUGGGGGAAUUCCGGGUGUAGAGGUGAAAUUCGUAGAGAUCGGGAGGAAUAUCAGUGGCGAAGGCGGCCAUCUGGACGGUAACUGACGCUGAGACGCGAAAGCGUGGGGAGCAAACA